UACGGAGGGCGCAAGCGUUGUUCGGAAUCACUGGGCGUAAAGCGCGUGUAGGCGGCUUGGUAAGUCGGGUGUGAAAGCCCGGGGCCUAACCCCGGAACUGCACUCGAAACUGCCUCGCUCGAGUCCCGGAGAGGAUGGUGGAAGUCCCGGUGUAGUGGUGAAAUACGUAGAUAUCGGGAGGAACACCAGCGGCGAAGGCGGCCAUCUGGCCGGUGACUGACGCUGAGACGCGAAAGCGUGGGGAGCAAACAGG
This 253-nucleotide ribosomal RNA is filed under the name uncultured bacterium. RNAcentral describes it as "partial 16S ribosomal RNA". It matches the Rfam family "Bacterial small subunit ribosomal RNA", at positions 524 to 776 of the family's 1533-position model. The record is from RNAcentral.